UUCAUUUCCGUCGGCUUUUCCGGACACAACGUCAGCGUAGCUUGGUGGCAAGUCAGCAUCGACAGAAUACUCUGGCUUUCAGGCAAUGAAAGUCGGAGUGUUCGUUCUUGUAAUGUCUGGUUACCAGAAGCUUUGACGUGUGCCAACCUUAUCCACCAAUCAUACCUGCCACUGCGCCUCGUCUGGAAGGUGACAGACCCACCGAACUUGAUACGAUAAACUAG
Molecule: long non-coding RNA, 224 nt
Organism: Acanthaster planci (crown-of-thorns starfish)
Lineage: Eukaryota; Metazoa; Echinodermata; Asteroidea; Valvatida; Acanthasteridae
Source: RefSeq, a predicted model, not a curated record